RNAcentral lists this ribosomal RNA (496 nucleotides) under uncultured bacterium. RNAcentral describes it as "partial 16S ribosomal RNA". It matches the Rfam family "Bacterial small subunit ribosomal RNA", at positions 29 to 507 of the family's 1533-position model. The record is from RNAcentral.
AUGAACGCUGGCGGCGUGCCUAAUACCUGCAAGUCGCGCGAACAGAUAAGGAGCUUGCUCCUUUGACGUUAGCGGCGGACGGGUGAGUAACACGUGGGUAACCUACCUAUAAGACUGGGAUAACUUCGGGAAACCGGAGCUAAUACCGGAUAACAUUUGGAACCGCAUGGUUCUAAAGUGAAAGAUGGUUUUGCUAUCACUUAUAGAUGGACCCGCGCCGUAUUAGCUAGUUGGUAAGGUAACGGCUUACCAAGGCAACGAUACGUAGCCGACCUGAGAGGGUGAUCGGCCACACUGGAACUGAGACACGGUCCAGACUCCUACGGGAGGCAGCAGUAGGGAAUCUUCCGCAAUGGGCGAAAGCCUGACGGAGCAACGCCGCGUGAGUGAUGAAGGGUUUCGGCUCGUAAAACUCUGUUAUUAGGGAAGAACAAAUGUGUAAGUAACUGUGCACGUCUUGACGGUACCUAAUCAGAAAGCCACGGCUAACUACGUG